AGCUUUGCACAGUGGCAGUAUCGUAGCCAAUGAGGUUUAUCCGAGGCGCGAUUAUUGCUAAUUGGAAAGGUCCACACAGCAAAGAACUGAGGGAGGCUUCUGGCCAACAGCCAAUGAGGAUUUCAAUCCUGCCAACAACCACAUGGGUGAAAUAUAAGUUGAUUCCCCUCCAGAUGA
Molecule: small nuclear RNA, 177 nt
Filed under: Neogale vison (American mink)
Lineage: Eukaryota; Metazoa; Chordata; Mammalia; Carnivora; Mustelidae
Description: Neovison vison (American mink) U4 spliceosomal RNA (ENSNVIG00000021791.1)
Rfam family: U4 spliceosomal RNA (bases 1-69)
Source: RNAcentral